RNAcentral lists this ribosomal RNA (254 nucleotides) under uncultured bacterium. Its description in RNAcentral is "partial 16S ribosomal RNA". It matches the Rfam family "Bacterial small subunit ribosomal RNA", at positions 524 to 776 of the family's 1533-position model. The record is from RNAcentral.
UACGGAGGAUCCAAGCGUUAUCCGGAAUCAUUGGGUUUAAAGGGUCCGUAGGCGGUUUGGUAAGUCAGUGGUGAAAGCCCAUCGCUCAACGGUGGAACGGCCAUUGAUACUGCCAGACUUGAAUUAUUAGGAAGUAACUAGAAUAUGUAGUGUAGCGGUGAAAUGCUUAGAGAUUACAUGGAAUACCAAUUGCGAAGGCAGGUUACUACUAAUGGAUUGACGCUGAUGGAACGAAAGCGUGGGUAGCGAACAGG